Molecule: long non-coding RNA, 205 nt
Filed under: Olea europaea (common olive)
Lineage: Eukaryota; Viridiplantae; Streptophyta; Magnoliopsida; Lamiales; Oleaceae
Description: long non-coding RNA (OEUR_LNC013273)
Source: RNAcentral
ACAAAUUUAUAAAACCAGCAUUAGUGUACAGUAAAUAUGGAUGAUGAUACGAACUACCCAAACAAGAAUUAGAAGGAACAAGUUGAGCUUUUUUGGCUUCACUUUAAUGUUUAGGAGGGCAUUCUAGGUCUGGCUGGUCGGAGAAGGGCAAUCGCUCAUGUUAUGAUUCAAAUAAAUAUUCCGUACUAUAUAGCAUCAUUCCCAC